GCCUAAAGGGGCCGUAGCCGGUUUGGUCAGUCCUCCGGGAAAUCUGAUGGCUCAACCAUUAGGCUUUCGGGGGAUACUGCCAGGCUUGGAACCGGGAGAGGUAAGAGGUACUACAGGGGUAGGAGUGAAAUCUUGUAAUCCCUGUGAGACCACCUGUGGCGAAGGCGUCUUACCAGAACGGGUUCGACGGUGAGGGACGAAAGCUGGGGGCACGAACCGGAUUAGAUACCCGGGUAGUCCCAGCCGUAAACGAUGCUCGCUAGGUGUCGGGCAUGGCGCGACCGUGUCUGGUGCCGCAGGGAAGCCGUGAAGCGAGCCACCUGGGAAGUACGGCCGCAAGGCUGAAACUUAAAGGAAUUGGCGGGGGAGCACAACAACGGGUGGAGCCUGCGGUUUAAUUGGACUCAACGCCGGAAAACUCACCGGGGGCGACAGCAAUAUGUAGGUCAAGCUAAAGACUUUACCAGAAUCGCUGAGAGGAGGUGCAUGGCCGUCGUCAGUUCGUACUGUGAAGCAUCCUGUUAAGUCAGGCAACGAGCGAGACCCGUGCCCACUGUUGCCAGCAUGUCCUUCGGGAUGAUGGGUACUCUGUGGGGACCGCCGAUGCUAAAUCGGAGGAAGGUGCGGGCUACGGUAGGUCCGCAUGCCCCGAA
This 653-nucleotide ribosomal RNA is filed under the name uncultured archaeon. Its description in RNAcentral is "bacterial SSU rRNA". It matches the Rfam family "Archaeal small subunit ribosomal RNA", at positions 508 to 1160 of the family's 1478-position model. The record is from RNAcentral.